Molecule: long non-coding RNA, 2636 nt
Filed under: Capsicum annuum
Lineage: Eukaryota; Viridiplantae; Streptophyta; Magnoliopsida; Solanales; Solanaceae
Description: long non-coding RNA (CANN_LNC016742)
Source: RNAcentral
GAGAGCAAAUCGGGUACCGUCCUAGGUCUUCGUAGCAACUCCGAUGUGUUGUUACUCUCUGAAUUCUGGCCGUGAAAUGACAGUGAUUUCUCCGAUAGCACCUUUCCUUUCCGGUGAUUCCUCGGAGGAGGCAUUUUAUGCUAUAUCCACGUAAGUAUUUGAAUGUUUUUUUGUUUGGUUACCUGAGAAUCGAAAAUCGAAUCUAACUGAACUGAAUUCGGUUCUUCGAUUUCUGUUCUUCAGAAAGAUGGAAAAAUCGAAUCAAAUUGAACUAAUUCGGUUCUUCGAUUUCUGUUCUUCAAAAAGAUAAGGAAAAAUCGAAUCAAAUUGAACUAAUUAAUCAAACUGAACUAAUUCGGUUUUUCGAUAUCUGUUCUUCACAAAGAUAGAAAAAUUGAAUCAAAUUGAACUAAUUCGUUUUUUCGAUAUCUGUUCUUCAGAAAGAUGGAAAAAUCGAAUUAAAUUGAACUAAUUAAUCAAAUUGAACUAAUUCGGUUUUUCGAUAUCUGUUCUUCAUAAAGAUAGGAAAAAUUGAAUCAAAUUGAACUAAUUCGGUUCUUUAAGUUUUGUUCUUCAUAAAGAUGAAAAAAUCGAACCAAAUUGAACUGUGAUUCGGUUCUUCAGUUUCUGUUCUUCAUAAAGAUGGAAGAAUCGAACCAAACUGAACUAAUUCGAUUUUUCAGUUUUUGUUCUUCGGAAACAUGAAAAAAUCGAACCAAACAGAACUACUUCGCCUCUUUGGUUUUUCAGUUCUUCAAAAUGAUUGGAAAAAUUGAACCAAACUCAACUAAUUCGAUUCAUCUGUUUCUAUUGUUAGUAAAGAUGGAAAAAUCGAACCAAACUGAACUAAUUCGGUUCUUCAGAAAGAUAAAAAAAAUCGAAUCAAACUGAACCAAUUCGAUUCUUUAGCUCGGUUACCCAAAAAAUAAAAAAAAUGGACCGAACUAAUUUGAUUCUUCGGUAACGGAGAAAUUUAAUAAAACCGAAUCGAAGAACUGAACAAAACAAGAGUGGCAGAAGUGUAAUUUAGAGGAGAUAGAGGGACUAAUAUUGAAAUGAAUUUUAAAACAAUGCAAUGAAGAAAAUGGUGGUGAGGAAUGCUCCUAUUUAUAUGAAGGAAAAAAAAUAAGAUAAAGAAGGUUUAUGAUAUUUCCAAUAUUGGGUGAAGUUUAACCUAUAAAUGGUAAUUAUGCUGUUAAUAAGGACAAAAGAAUUUUCUACACAAAAGAAAGAAGUGUCAAAAGGGCUGUAACAAGUAGUGGCGGAGUCAGGAUAUUCACGAAGGAAAUUCAUGAGGAAAUAUACGAACUAAUCAAAAGGGGUUCAACGUCUAAUAUAUAUACAUAAAAAAUAAUUUUAACUAUGUAUAUAUAGUAUAAUUUUUUGUCGAAAGAGGGUUUGAAUGAACCCCUCGGCAAAAGAUAGAUCCGCCACCGAUAACAAGUACUCCUAUUUGGUUAUUGAGCAUGUGAUUUUAGACAAAAAGAGGUCGUGGUAGACGUAAAUUAAGAUAAAAAUUAAAAGAGAGCAGAAUUUUAUCUCGCUUAUCCUUUUAUAUUAAUAGUCGUAGUGUUUGUUAGUAAUUUCUUGUCAUAUUGUGUAUUAACCUUUGAUUUUUUUCACUUUUGAUAACGAGACUAUUUCAUCGUUUAAAAUGUUUUAUCAUACUUUUUAUUGUAUUUUGAUAUGAUUCUUUCACUUUAGCAAUUUUUUUCAAUCUUUUUAUAUAUAUUUUUUGAGUUGGGGGUUUUAUCGAAAAUAACUUUAUUAUCUUUCAGGUAAGAAUAAGCUCUGUGUAUAUUCUUAUCAUUUUCAGAAUUUUACACACGGCAAACUGUUAUUGUUGAUUUGAGAUCGAUGUCAAUCUAAAAUUUUUGAACAAAUUUCAACUUUUAAAAUUUUGAUUUCAUUUCUCAAAUUUAUCUAAAAGGUAAAAUUUUAAUUUCUGAUUAAAAUUUUAUUGAGGUUCUCUUCUUUGCCACCUUUGCGCUAUGCGAUGCAUCUCUAAAAUUUAAAUAUAAUUUUAACUUCAAAUUACUUUCUACCUAUCAAAUUAUUACUUUCGUUUCAAAUUAUCCGUUUCAAAUUUUCUAAUUUUGAUUUUUCACUUUAUUUAUCUUUUUUCAUUUAUAUAAUUUUUUUUUUUCAUGUUUUACCUUUUACAUUGAUUACUUUUUCUUCAAAUUAAAAUGUAAAUAUCAUUUAAUAGGAGUAUUAUGAUAAAUUAGUUAUGUUAUUAAUUAUUUUUUUAAUCAAUUUGUCAUUUCAAUUUAGGACCAGUAGUUUGAGACGGAGGGAGUAUAGUAAAAAUUUGAGUGGGACCCAUACUAAAUGACAAGUGGCAAACGUCGGCAGUGCUUCGCGAGAGUACUUAACCGGUAUGUGGUAUAAAAACGCUUCAGUUAUGGCGGCUUUAUCAUCCACUAAAAUAAGGACACGUGUACUAUGGUAGUUACUAUGUAACGUUGGGGCUCGUUUGGUAGAGUGUGUAAGAAUAAUGCAAAAUAUAGUGUAUUGGUAAUGCUUGUGUUAGUUAUGUUUGCAUUAGUUAUGCUUGUAUUUUUCUUAUGCAGUGUUUUUCGAUGUAUUAAAAAAAACAUGAAUUACAUAAUUUCAAUUCUUUUUUUUUUAUAUAA